This is a long non-coding RNA of Hordeum vulgare subsp. vulgare (domesticated barley), 615 nucleotides long. RefSeq lists it as uncharacterized. The transcript has 2 exons. The record is from RefSeq and is a predicted model, not a curated record. Lineage: Eukaryota; Viridiplantae; Streptophyta; Magnoliopsida; Poales; Poaceae.
CCAGUAGCCAAUCCAUUUGUGGAGCGACAAAGGCCGGCGGGGCGACAAAGGCUGGCAUUGGAGGUGCCUGAUAGGCAUGGUGGACGGCCGUUGGUGGGUUGCUUGGUCCUGCUGCGGCAGAUCCAGGGUGGUCGUGAUGACCACGACGACCACGGCGGUCGUUGCGAGAGCCCCAAUGGCGACGAACUCCAAUACCAUGGCUUCUUGCAGAUCGACGGAUUUCCUUUCCAAUGAAACGAACGAGAGCAGAGGCGAUUCUGUGCAGGGGGAACGGACGCAUCCAAAGGAUGCGAUGGUUUGAGGAGGCGGUUCUUGAAGACGUCGCUCCAGGAACGAUGUGUUGGUUCGGCAUCGUGGAAACAUCCACGUACGGUUUACAAGUAGUGAUUAACUUUAACUAAUUACAUUAAUUAAUUAAAUCCUAACACUUAGCAAGCAUGACUUGACCGCUUCGCACAAGCCGACGUGUGUAGCAUCCGUCCUCACCGCACGCACAAGUUAGCAUUAUGUUUUUUUUAACAUAGAGCUUGACUCAAUGAAAUCAACGUCUUUAUCUUACAAAGCUUAAGCUACUUCCUCAGUUCCAUAAUUCAAGACGUACUGUACAUUAUAAGA